CCUACGGGGGGCAGCAGUGAGGAAUAUUGGUCAAUGGCCGCAGGGCUGAACCAGCCAAGUCGCGUGAGGGAUGACGGUCCUAUGGAUUGUAAACCUCUUUUGUCAGGGAGCAAAGGGCGCCACGUGUGGCGUUUUGCGAGUACCUGAAGAAAAAGCAUCGGCUAACUCCGUGCCAGCAGCCGCGGUAAUACGGAGGAUGCGAGCGUUAUCCGGAUUUAUUGGGUUUAAAGGGUGCGCAGGCGGAAUGUCAAGUCAGCGGUAAAAUUUCGGGGCUCAACCCCGUCGUGCCGUUGAAACUGGCGUUC
RNAcentral lists this ribosomal RNA (305 nucleotides) under uncultured bacterium. RNAcentral's name for it is "bacterial SSU rRNA". It matches the Rfam family "Bacterial small subunit ribosomal RNA", at positions 338 to 641 of the family's 1533-position model. The record is from RNAcentral.